Molecule: long non-coding RNA, 1099 nt
Filed under: Cricetulus griseus (Chinese hamster)
Lineage: Eukaryota; Metazoa; Chordata; Mammalia; Rodentia; Cricetidae
Description: lncRNA (ENSCGRG00000025017.1)
Source: RNAcentral
CCCCCCUCCCCACGCCGCCACCGCCGUCCCAGAGCUUGGCACCCGGGCGUCCCGAGGUGCAGCCCUACCGCGAGCCGGCUCUGCGUCCCCGCAUCUUGCUGUGUGCCCCUCCCGCGCGCCCCACGCCGCCUGUGCCUCCCGAACCCCCAGCGGCGCCACGAGAGUCCCCCGUGCGCCCUGCGCCCCCCACGCGCCCGGGGGAAAGUUCCUACUCGUCAAUUUCACAUGUAAUUUACAAUAACCACCCGGAUUCUUCCGCGUCGCCUAGGAAACGGCCAGGCGAAGCGACCGCCGCCUCCACGGAGAUCAAAGCCCUGCAGCAGACCCGGAGGCUCCUGGCCAACGCCAGGGAGCGGACGCGGGUGCACACCAUCAGCGCAGCCUUCGAGGCGCUCAGGAAGCAGGGAACCCGUCAGGCCUCUGCCUGUCAUUGCGAUCUACUACCCUCCCAACCAGGAAGAAACGGCAGAGGGGGCUGUGUGGCUGCUGGCAGAGAUACAGGUUGUUUUUCCCCUCACUUGUCCACUGUGACCCCAUUCUGAGAAGCAGCUGUUGGGAUGCCCACGUUUCUGGUGAAGAAACAGGUCUUGUAAGGCCUCCUCCUUGAAGCCGGGAAGAUGUCCAAGGGACAGCCAGGCCCUCAGGCUGCCCAGUGAGUGUUUGCAGGGGCCAGGGGAGGGUCUAGCUUGGGCAGUGGAGGAGAGUGGAAUGUUUGGGGGCCUAGAAGAUCUUGUGAACAUGCCAAGAGCUGAUCCUUUGUGGAGUUUAAAGUCCAGCAGCAGGGGAGAUAGCUCAGCCAGUAAAAUGCUUGCUAUACAAACACGAGGUCCUGAGUUCAACCCCCACCUACAAAGGCAGGCAGGCUGGCGCGCAUCCCGUCGUCCCGGCACUGGGGAGGUAGAAAGGUGAGGUGGGCCUUGAUAGCCAGUCUAUUUCAGCUGAACAAGCAAGCUCCAGGUUCAGGAGAGACCUUAUUUCAAAAAUUAAGGUGGAGAGUGAUGGAGGAGGACACCUGACAUUGGUUUCUGGCCUUCAUGGACAUGCUGGAACAUACACACGUACACCCGCACAGACGUGUGCAGACACGGCUAGGCCUUAU